AUUGAACGCUGGCGGCAUGCCUUACACAUGCAAGUCGAACGGCAGCACGGGAGCAAUCCUGGUGGCGAGUGGCGAACGGGUGAGUAAUAUAUCGGAACGUGCCCGGUCGUGGGGGAUAACGUAGCGAAAGCUACGCUAAUACCGCACACGAUCUACGGAUGAAAGCGGGGGAUCGCAAGACCUCGCGCGAUUGGAGCGGCCGAUAUCAGAUUAGGUAGUUGGUGAGGUAAAGGCUCACCAAGCCGACGAUCUGUAGCUGGUCUGAGAGGACGACCAGCCACACUGGGACUGAGACACGGCCCAGACUCCUACGGGAGGCAGCAGUGGGGAAUUUUGGACAAUGGGCGCAAGCCUGAUCCAGCAAUGCCGCGUGCAGGAUGAAGGCC
RNAcentral lists this ribosomal RNA (386 nucleotides) under uncultured bacterium. RNAcentral's name for it is "bacterial SSU rRNA". It matches the Rfam family "Bacterial small subunit ribosomal RNA", at positions 29 to 416 of the family's 1533-position model. The record is from RNAcentral.